GGGGGUAUAGCUCAGCUGGUAGAGUGCAUGUCUGGCAUACACAAGGCCCUGUGUCCAAUUCCCAGCACCACCA
Molecule: non-coding RNA, 73 nt
Organism: Ictidomys tridecemlineatus (thirteen-lined ground squirrel)
Lineage: Eukaryota; Metazoa; Chordata; Mammalia; Rodentia; Sciuridae
Source: Rfam